ACCCGCACAAGCGGUGGAUGAUGUGGUUUAAUUCGAUGCAACGCGAAAACCUUACCCACCUUUGACAUGGCAGGAAGUUUCCAGAGAUGGAUUCGUGCUCGAAAGAGAACCUGCACACAGGUGCUGCAUGGCUGUCGUCAGCUCGUGUCGUGAGAUGUUGGGUUAAGUCCCGCAACGAGCGCAACCCUUGUCAUUAGUUGCCAUCAUUUAGUUGGGCACUCUAAUGAGACUGCCGGUGACAAACCGGAGGAAGGUGGGGAUGACGUCAAGUCCUCAUGGCCCUUAUGGGUAGGGCUUCACACGUCAUACAAUGGUCGGUACAGAGGGUUGCCAAGCCGCGAGGUGGAGCCAAUCCCUUAAAACCAUCCUCAGUUCGGAUUGUAGGCUGCAAUCGCCUGCAUGAAGCCGGAGCUGCUAGUAACCGCAGGUCAGCUAUACUGCGGUGAAUACGUUCUCGGGCCUU
Molecule: ribosomal RNA, 463 nt
Filed under: uncultured Zoogloea sp.
Lineage: Bacteria; Pseudomonadati; Pseudomonadota; Betaproteobacteria; Rhodocyclales; Zoogloeaceae
Description: bacterial SSU rRNA
Rfam family: Bacterial small subunit ribosomal RNA
Source: RNAcentral